RNAcentral lists this ribosomal RNA (449 nucleotides) under uncultured bacterium. Its description in RNAcentral is "partial 16S ribosomal RNA". It matches the Rfam family "Bacterial small subunit ribosomal RNA", at positions 29 to 523 of the family's 1533-position model. The record is from RNAcentral.
AACGAACGCUGGCGGCAUGCCUAACACAUUCAAGUCGAACGAGAUCUUCGGGUCUAGUGGCGCACGGGUGCGUAACGCGCGGGAAUCUGCCCUUUGGUUCGGAAUAACAGUUGGAAACGACUGCUAAUACCGGAUGAUGACGAAAGUCCAAAGAUUUAUCGCCAGAGGAUGAGCCCGCGUGGCCUUAGCUAGUUGGUGUGGUAAAGGCGCACCAAGGCGACAAUCCUUAGCUGGUCUGAGAGGAUGAUCAGCCACACUGGGACUGAGACACGGCCCAGACUUCUACCGGGGGCAGCAGUGGUGAAUAUUGGGAAAGGGGCGAAAACCCGUUCCAGCCGUGCCGCUCGAGGGAUGAAGGCCUUAGGGUUGUAACGCACUUUUACCCGGGAUGAUGAAGACAGUACCGAGGGCAUCAGCUCUGAUCAUCGGCGUGGAUGCCGCCGUGGUAA